Non-coding RNA from Podarcis lilfordi (Lilford's wall lizard), 76 nucleotides. The record is from the annotation of a GenBank genome assembly. Lineage: Eukaryota; Metazoa; Chordata; Lepidosauria; Squamata; Lacertidae.
UGCAUUAUGGAUAGCGCAGUUGGUAGAGCAUGAGACUCUUAAUCUCAGGGUCAUGAGUUCAAGUCAUGUUUGGCAA